GCAGUCACUCACAAGCACAGCAUGGGGUAGAGUUGAAUUUUCACAAGGAAUCUGCUUUAGCAUUGGUCUUCACCUAGUGUGCUUAGACCCCCAAGUGAGGCAGUGUUUUGCAGUGACCUAAGGCUGUUGGGCCAGUAGUACUAUCAGCAUUAAUUUGAUAUCUUAGCACCUGGAAGGGAAUUAGCUUGCAGUUUCUAUCUUAGACUCAGUCUAGAUGUGGCUAAAGACUGGAAGGUGGUGACUAAACACAGAUCUUGUGCCUUUCAUCCUUGGACAGGGUUUUGGCAAGGCAUAGCUUUUCAUACAGUUGGCGGUGGUGGAGAAAGGCUGCAUCCACUGGAGUGUUAAAGGGACAGGAACUUUUACAUCUGCUCACUGCUGAGAUGGAGAAAGGUGGUCACAUAUAUGACAACAAAUUUAAAGCUGAGCCUUUGUAGCACUAAAUGGAGAUCCAGAGUCUGAAAAGGAUAAAGACUACUGCUCUGAAGGGUGGCAUGUGUGCCCUACUUUACAGAAAGCAGUCCUUUGUUUGAAGGAGCCCUCUGAAGAGACGGUUUCAAGUCAGUUUACAGAUAAAGAACUAUAAGAAAGGAAAGCUGGAGCCUUGAAGUUGGCCUUAAACAGUUA
Rhineura floridana is the source of this 627-nucleotide long non-coding RNA. RefSeq lists it as uncharacterized. The record is from RefSeq and is a predicted model, not a curated record. NCBI's taxonomy places the organism in Eukaryota, Metazoa, Chordata, Lepidosauria, Squamata, Rhineuridae. The transcript is spliced from 3 exons.